RNAcentral lists this ribosomal RNA (389 nucleotides) under Nitrosospira sp. enrichment culture. RNAcentral's name for it is "bacterial SSU rRNA". It matches the Rfam family "Bacterial small subunit ribosomal RNA", at positions 197 to 567 of the family's 1533-position model. Lineage: Bacteria; Pseudomonadati; Pseudomonadota; Betaproteobacteria; Nitrosomonadales; Nitrosomonadaceae. The record is from RNAcentral.
UGGAGGAAAGCAGGGGAUCGCAAGACCUUGCGCUUUUGGAGCGGCCGAUGUCUGAUUAGCUAGUUGGUGAGGUAAAGGCUUACCAAGGCUUCGAUCAGUAGCUGGUCUGAGAGGACGACCAGCCACACUGGGACUGAGACACGGCCCAGACUCCUACGGGAGGCAGCAGUGGGGAAUUUUGGACAAUGGGGGAAACCCUGAUCCAGCCAUGCCGCGUGAGUGAAGAAGGCCUUCGGGUUGUAAAGCUCUUUCAGCCGGAACGAAAAGGUUACGGUUAAUACCCGUGACUAAUGACGGUACCGGAAGAAGAAGCACCGGCUAACUACGUGCCAGCAGCCGCGGUAAUACGUAGGGUGCGAGCGUUAAUCGGAAUUACUGGGCGUAAAGCG